Long non-coding RNA from Argiope bruennichi, 1610 nucleotides. RefSeq lists it as uncharacterized. Lineage: Eukaryota; Metazoa; Arthropoda; Arachnida; Araneae; Araneidae. The transcript has 3 exons. The record is from RefSeq and is a predicted model, not a curated record.
ACCGUUAGUUAUUUUAAAAUGGGUGUGGAAAAUAGUAUGAUCGAUUAUAGCUGCCUUACUGCGUUGUGAAAUAUUCUGUAUUGACGAUUUUUAUCGUACGGGAUGAUAGCUCAACUUCCUUCCUCCAACAUCCUUCCAUUGGGACUUCUGAAUUUGUAUAAAACGAGCACCUAGUAUAAAACUUCUCAUCGAAAUCCUCAUGAUAUGACAUUCAAGACAUCAAUGAAGACGAUAAAAGCAACUGCCACCAUGUCUACUGCAAUAUCCCCUACUAGAGGAUGUUAAUCCAAACUUGCCAAAGGUAAUUAAAGCAGUUCCAUCCAUAGAAUUUGAAUGGAUCAAAGAUGUUCCGAGAUUGCAUUUCUGUCCGGAGGUAUAUUGUGAAUUUGGAAUCUUGAAAUAGAUGUGCAGUAUCUGGAUGAACACAGAAGACUACAAGUAAACUUAAUGUAUACCACAAUGCCUCGCAUAUUUAGCGACCUGUAAUUGAUAAUGAACCAAAGUUCACUUCAUUGAACUUUUAAUGUUAUUAGGAAAUGAUUAGUAGGAAAUUAAUUGAAUUGGGAAAAAUUCUUAAAUUAAAAUGAUAGGUUUUAUAUGUAGGGGAACUUCAUUGAAUUCUUAAUUAUAUAAAUAUUAGCCUUGUUAGCCUAUAAAUUUAAUGAACAUUAUAUAAAUUUUCUGAAUCUCUUCAAAUGAAGCGGACAAAGUUACUCUUAACUAUCUUUUAUAUAUUUUGAGAUUACUGUUAAUAGUAUAUGCCCAAGCACCAUGUUUGAGGAAACAAUUUUGAAUCAAAAGUUAAGAAUUUUGGGAUCAGUCUCAAAUCUAAAUUUGGAUACUAAGCAUUGUAACUAAUCCACUUUGCAUUUUCGCGCUGUAUUACAAAAAUGAAUUUUUACUAAACUUGCAUCAUUUGGAGCUAGGGACGUUGUGUUAGAACGCACGAGGUUAUAACAGUCAUGCAUGUUAGUUGGAGACCAGCUGCAAUCGUGCGAAAGAGUAUUUCAGAAUUUUAAUUAGUUUCUUGUAACUACAAUUAAAAACUAAUUUCCUGAAACAAUCGUCGUUAUACAACUCAUUUAAUGUGCUUGCAAAAUGCGGUAUUACACGCAGAGUACUCCCUCAAAAUUGGUUAGGAACAUGUCGCGUUAAUCUCGCAGUUGCCUACUAUUGAUUCGGCUUGAGGGUUUUAACUUACAAGAGCUCCUGAAUUAUGGCUAGCCUUUCUUCUAAUCGAAUGCAGAAAUGACUUGAAGUGCAGAAGUUACAGCGUGACAUUAAAAUUCGUAUUCUAUGGUAAGUGUAAAUCUUGAUCAGCUCUCGAUAGUUGCAAAUGCCAAUGUUCGGAGUAGAAAUUGUGUUUAAUCUAUUUGCUAGGAAUAACUGCAGCAUUCCAACAAGGAUUCGGGUGUAGGGGAGGCCAGAAUGGAGGUUAACGCGUCAAUAUACGGGUCCCUGUAGACUUUCCUUUCAGGCUGUUCGGGACCGGCAGCCUGAAUGGAAAGCCUCGGUCCCCAGGGAUCCGGUAUUGAUCGCGUUAACGGGGGAUAGCAAUGGAGUAGGAAUUCCUUUGCUAAUCUAACGAACAAGGAGGGAUUUCAGCUGUC